CACUUCGGUCCGGAGUUGAUGGGUUAUCAUUCUAGAAGCAUUCUGAAUUGUUUACUCUCUUCUGCUUGCAGGAGAACCCCCGGUUUCAUUGUGAAACCAAAUCUCUCGCAUUCUCAUUAAGAGUGCAAAACCUUCCCAUCAACACCAACUCGACCGUUGU
Molecule: small RNA, 160 nt
Filed under: Caenorhabditis brenneri
Lineage: Eukaryota; Metazoa; Nematoda; Chromadorea; Rhabditida; Rhabditidae
Description: snoRNA CBN33783
Rfam family: Nematode sRNA ceN72-3_ceN74-2
Source: Rfam by way of RNAcentral